RNAcentral lists this ribosomal RNA (490 nucleotides) under uncultured bacterium. RNAcentral's name for it is "partial 16S ribosomal RNA". It matches the Rfam family "Bacterial small subunit ribosomal RNA", at positions 29 to 507 of the family's 1533-position model. The record is from RNAcentral.
GUGAACGCUGGCGGUAGGCCUAACACAUGCAAGUCGAACGGCAGCACAGUAAGAGCUUGCUCUUACGGGUGGCGAGUGGCGGACGGGUGAGGAAUACAUCGGAAUCUACUUUUUCGUGGGGGAUAACGUAGGGAAACUUACGCUAAUACCGCAUACGACCUACGGGUGAAAGCAGGGGAUCUUCGGACCUUGCGCGAUUGAAUGAGCCGAUGUCGGAUUAGCUAGUUGGCGGGGUAAGGCCCACCAAGGCGACGAUCCGUAGCUGGUCUGAGAGGAUGAUCAGCCACACUGGAACUGAGACACGGUCCAGACUCCUACGGGAGGCAGCAGUGGGGAAUAUUGGACAAUGGGCGCAAGCCUGAUCCAGCCAUACCGCGUGGGUGAAGAAGGCCUUCGGGUUGUAAAGCCCUUUUGUUGGGAAAGAAAAGCAGCAGGUUAAUACCCCGCUGUUCUGACGGUACCCAAAGAAUAAGCACCGGCUAACUUCGUG